ACGCCUAGUUUCACACCUGUUAGACCGGUACGUCUAAGCUCCAAUCACGACAUCAGUCCCUUAACUGGUAAAGAUCAGCUGAUAACAUACGGCUCAUGUGCUGCACCUGAGAGAAAAUGAAAGCCCAGGUUUUGUUCCUGCUCCUCGUUCUUGUGGUUGGAGUUCAGCUGAUGCCAGUUGGUUCCCACCGCGACUCACCAGUUAUUCCAGAAGAUGUGGCCCUCGCUGAACUGAAAGGGGAACUGAGAGAAGUCAAGCCAGUUUCACCUGAACCAUUUACUGAGAGUUUUCCAGAAACUUAAAAAUGUAUCACUAUUGGGAAGAAAAUGGAGAGAACAGAUGAAAGAAAAACAUUUAUCCAAUGAUUUUUACUUAUACCUUUCAGCAAAGCUAAAGUAAAACAAACCCCGAUGCGUUCAUGUACCUAUAUGUAUUUUUAUGCUUAAUUUAUCCCACCUCUGAUUUGAUAAAAGUUUGGAAACAAUGUUAUCAAACAAAUUUCUAUCCAAAGGGGGAUUUGCUUCUUAAAAACCUUAAUAAAAUGUUGAUCGAAAAGAAGUUAAAGUAAAUGUCACCUCUUCAUAAACCUUUAUGGGCAUAAUCACAAAAUUAUAUGUAUAGUAUAAUAAUAUUCAUCAUUAAUAAUACAAGAUAUUUGCAUUAAAAAUACAAUUAUUGUUACAUCUAAAUGUGUUUCAUGGAGGAGCUAAUAAAUUCUAUGA
This is a long non-coding RNA of Cyprinodon variegatus (sheepshead minnow), 722 nucleotides long. RefSeq lists it as uncharacterized. The transcript has 4 exons. NCBI's taxonomy places the organism in Eukaryota, Metazoa, Chordata, Actinopteri, Cyprinodontiformes, Cyprinodontidae. The record is from RefSeq and is a predicted model, not a curated record.